AGUUUUCUAUUUUUGACUCUUUUUUUUCAUGGUUUUCUGCAUAUUAGUUGUAACAUUUUUAAUUAUUUGUUCAUUGAGAUUAACGGUGAGAAAUGGUGUCUGAGUUGAUUUUUCUUUUUUUUUUUUUGUGAACAAGAGAAAUACGAGACCAGAUAUACGAUGAAAAGGCUAAUACGGUGACCAUCACGGUGGUAUGCUGUAGCCCGGAGAAGAUCAGGGACAAGUUAUGUUACAAAGGUGGUGGAUCCAUCAAGAGCAUUGAGCUCAAGUCGCCGGCGAAACCCAAGGAAUCGGAGAAGAAACCCGACAAACCUAAAGAAGCCGAGAAGCCGAAAGAAGCUGAGAAGAAGCCGGAAAAACCCAAAGAAGCUGAGAAGAAGCCGGAAAAACCCAAAGAUCCUGAGAAGAAGCCGGAAAAACCCAAAGAUCCUGCUCCUGAGAAGAAGCCGGAAAAACCCAAAGAACCUGCUCCUGGGAAGAGACCGCCAAAGCCCAAAGACGGUGGUGAGACGAAACCGGAUAUACCUAGAGAGGUGGCGUCGCAGCAGAAUGUUGCGGCACCUUCUCCUUUACCGCCGAUGACGUAUGCAGUUGGGUAUACUUGCUCCGAGGGUUAUUAUAAUGGUUAUGGUGGAGGACCUAGCUAUUAUGGUGGACCACCCCAACAACCGUUCCCAUAUUACGAGACUUACGGUAGGCCUGUUUAUGACAGCUGGGGUGGCGGCGGCGGUGGCUACUACAGGUACGGCGGCCGUACCGGUGAAUGUUUUAGUGAAGAAAACCCUCAAGGUUGCUCGAUCAUGUAAAAAAACCGCGGGAAUUCGUUAUACUAUAAUGGUAAUAAUAAAUUCUCUUGUCUACUGGUGUAUGAAUCUGGGGGAGUCAUUUUGUGGAUUUUUAUUUAUUUCUAGUUUUAUUGAGUUUAUAAAAGUCGGUAAAGAUCAUUAACAAGGUUGGUGGCGUUGGUGGUGGCGGCGACAACGGCGGCGGUAGUGGUGGUGUGCUCCAGGCUUGCAAAAAGUUUGUUUACCAUAGUUUUAAAUUUUAAUAAAUAAAAAUGAUGUAUCUUUUUAUCUGUCAGAGUCUUUUGUUUUUAAUUAUAUGAAGGAAUUCAUUUGACAACAAAAUAAUCAUGGAAGGAACCUUCUCAAAUGUAAACUUAGAUUAUAAUAAUGUAGUAUGCUUAUUAAUUUUACAAUCACCAAGUCUAAAUGAAGUAUUUUUUAUUAUUUUAAUUUUCUAUUUUUGUCUUUUAAUGAGAAUUAAUAAUUUAAUUCUAUUGUUAAUUAUUGUCAUUAUAGGAAAAUGUAGAUUGGAGUGCCUAGAGUUUUAUUUAAGGGUUAAAAGAGGGAUUAUGAACCAAGAUCACCUUUGUUUUUACCCUUGUAAAGUUCAUGACUGCCUUCUUAACGAUUUCACCUCUAAAAUUUGAAAUGCAAAGAGUGUUAUAUUACACCUAACACUUAUCGAUAUUUUAAGUUAGCAUUUUAAUUUAUCAAGUAUUACUCAAUUAGAACUAACUUCAUUUUUCAAAAAUACAAGAGAGCAAGUUUUGAUAAUUAAAACACGACAAUGAACUUUUGAAUUUUUGUAAAGUAGAGGGAAAAUUUCGUAAUUAUACCUUAUCUUUAAGAAGCUUUGCAAAAUGUAUGAUAAUAAUAUAUAUAGAGACAUAGUGGUUCAAAAACAAAAAGCCAAAUCAAUUGGAUAAUAAUGGUACCAAAGCAUCCACGAGACAAUGUCACUAACGGUGGGCGCCUCCCUAUGGUUAUCCGGUCCCCAAACAGGCGGGCGAUGGCGUCAAAAUUACCAAUCUAGCGCUUAUCCUUAUAUAGAGUAGGCAACCUAGCUUAACCUAGACACUCUUAGUUUCCUCCCAUGGUUUCAAAUCUUAAUACACUCCAAACUUUAAUUAUUGAGAUAGAAAUCGAGUUUGAUUUGAAUUUUGAUUAAGUUGAUUUAAUUUUUUUUAAUUGAAUAAUAAUAAAUUUUGAUUUUUAUAUAUAUUGUUAUAAUGCAAUUGAGAAUUGUUUAGUACGAUAAUUUACACUAUAAGAAUGCGAAGAGCUACUGAAAUGGUUGCGAUUUAUAUUGUGAAAGUGUGAAAAGUCAUUGUUCUUGGUGAUUGGAGGAUGUCGAGUUAGUAUAUGUAAAGGAGAGAAUUUUGCUUAAUUUAAGAAUAUUUUUCAAAAGUGCUUUUAAGGAAAAAAAAAUACUUAUGAGAAGAAGUUAAAAUUUACAAUUUAAAAAAAAAAAAGAUUUUUUGGGUCAAUUUUUUAUUUGGAAUAAGCAUUUUUUUUUCUCAAAAAAUUAAGAAUACUUUUGUCCCAAAUUUUUUUUUUAAAAGCAAUACAAAAAUGACCUUAAAUUGGCACAGUAUAUUUAAUCAAUUUUGGUUUGAGCAGGUUCAGCAAUUUUUUUUUAUUAUAUGUUUGAUUUUGUUGGUGUAAAAUAAAUCUUAAUUAUUUGUGUUUCGGUUCUUUUAAAAUGAUAUAAAAGUUUUAUUAUUUAAAAAUAUUUAAUUUAGUGAAAUUUAAUUGAGUAUUGAUAUAAAUAAAUGAUAUUAAAAUAUAUACCAAAUAUUUACAAAUCAAACUGAAAGUUUUGAAAAUAUUUUAUUUCAUAUUUAGAAUUUAAUAAAAUAUUCACCACUGAAGUACCCAAGUUUAAUAUUUAUUUAAAGGGAGUAAUUAAUAUUGAAUUUAUUUAAAUGGAAAAUUGGUGAUAUACUUCAAGACUGGUUUCUAAAUAUAUAUUAUAAAUUUUGAUUUUGAUUCCAUGAUUUUGAUGAAAAAUAUGCAUUAAGUUUGAUAUAUUAAUAUUAAUGGCAAAAAAAUCAUAUUUAAAACAUAAUUUAGAAAACGAGAUUUACUUAGGAAAAUACUUAAAAUUUUUAUAUAUGCUUUGAUGACGGAUUUUUAGUAAAACUUUCUAAAAUUUAAUAUUAUUUUAAAUAAGAAUUAAUUAUAAACAUUUUAAAUAAAUAAGCUUAAAUUCACUUUAAGGUAAGCUUUUAAUUUAUAUAUAUAAGGGAUGGUUUGGUAAUACUUUUGAAAAGUGAUUUUCAAAAGUAUUGUAAAAAAAUAUUUUCGGAAAGUUUAGUUUAAAAUUUGAGUGUUUAACAUUGCUAUCAAAAAAUAUUUUUGAGAAAUAAAAUGUCUAUUUUAGACAUGUUAUUAUUAAAGAAUAAAUAUGUAUUUAAAUAAUAUUUAAAUUAGUUAAUAUUAUUAUAUUUUAGUAAGAAUAUAAAAAAAUUAUUAUAAUUUGUUAAUUUUUUAAUAUAUGAAAUAUAAAUUUUAAAUAUUUUUAAAUAAUAAAUAUUAAUUAUUUAUAAAAUUUAAAGAGAAUAUAUAAACUAUAUUUUAAAUAUUUAAAUAUAAUCAUUAAAUAUUUAUAAUUAAUAUUUUAAAAAAUAUUUUUUAAUUAAUAAUUUUAAUAAAUUUGUACUAAAAGAAAAAUACUAUGUUAUUAUAGUGGUGAAAAAUUAGUAAGUAAAAGUCUUUUCGGAUAGUAAAAAGUUAAAAAUUUUAACUUUUACUUUUUAGAAAAGCCAAAUAUUAUUAAGCAUUUCAGAACAGUAGCUAAGCCUAAGUAUCAGCCUUUCGCUAUCUCAGUACUAUUUUCUAACACUUUUGCAUUUGCUUCUUUCUUUUUCACACCAGAUCUGGGGAUCCAAGCUAUGGCUGAAAAGGUUCCUAAAAUCUCAUCCUUUUUCUCUUCAACAUUUAAAUCCGAUGCCCAUUUCUUUUUCUUUUUUUAAUUUCUUUUAUUGUUUUUCAUGCUCCUCUGUUUCCAAUUCCUCUUUGUCUCUGUUAACCAGAUUCGUUAGCUAAUGCUAAUAAUUCAUGUAAAGUUUUUCUUUUGUAGGUGACGAUAAUGGUGCUGAAGGUCGACCUUCAGUGCAGGAAAUGUUACAAGAAGGUCAAGAAAGUGCUCUGUAAAUUCCCUCGUGAGUUUUCUAUUUUUGACUUUUUUUUUCAUGGAUUUCUGCAUAUUAUUUGUAACAUUUUUAAUUAUUUGUUCAUUGAGUUUAACGUUGAGAAAUGGUGUCUGAGUUUAUUUUUCUUUUUUCUUUUUUUGUGAACAAGAGAAAUACGAGACCAGAUAUACGAUGAAAAGACUAAUACGGUGACCAUCAAGGUGGUAUGCUGUAGCCCGGAGAAGAUCAGGGACAAGUUAUGUUACAAAGGUGGUGGAUCCAUCAAGAGCAUUGAGCUCAAGUCGCCGGCGAAGCCCAAGGAACCGGAGAAGAAACCCGACAAACCUAAAGAAGCCGAGAAGUCGAAAGAAGCUGGGAAGAAACCGCCAAAGCCCAAAGACGGUGGUGAGACGAAACCGGAUAUACCUAGAGAGGUGGCGUCGCAGCAGAAGGUUGCGGCACCUGCUCCUUUACCGCCGAUGACGUAUGCAGUUGGGUAUAAUUGCUCCGAGGGUUAUUAUAAUGGCUAUGGUGGAGGACCUACCUAUUAUGGUGGACCACCCCAACAACCGUUCCCAUGUUACGAGACUUACGGUAGGCCUGUUUAUGACAGCUGGGGCGGCGGCGGCGGAUACUACCGGUACGGCGGCCGUACCGGUGAUUGUGUUAGUGAAGAAAACCCACAAGGUUGCUCGAUC
This 4617-nucleotide long non-coding RNA is filed under the name Gossypium barbadense (sea-island cotton). RNAcentral's name for it is "long non-coding RNA (GBAR_LNC008673)". The record is from RNAcentral. Lineage: Eukaryota; Viridiplantae; Streptophyta; Magnoliopsida; Malvales; Malvaceae.